AUGCAGGUGGCGGGUCGUCCGGGGGCCAGCCGGACUGAUGGAGUUGCUGAACUAAAGCGGCAACUCGCUGUUGCGGAUGCGGACAUCACGCUGGUCAACAGGCGACUUGAUGAGUCGCAACAUAGUGCCGCUGCUGUGGAGAGCCUUUGGGCCGAACUUGCUCAAGCCAAGGAGCAGGCCAGAAGGAGUAAUGCGGCAGCCUCGAGGGCGGCCGAGGAGUUAGCGGCCGAAAGGGCCGCACACUGCCGGAGCAGGGAAGAGAUGGCCGAAAUGGCCGUGAAGUUAAAAGAUGCUACCGACCGCAAUGAGGCUCUUGGGAAGGAGCGCCUAGCGGGGCAAGAAGACCUGGAGAAGGCCACCUCCGAAGCCAAGGAUGCCCGCUCUGCAAUGCGGGCUAUAAAGGAAGAGCUGCGCGAGGCCGGAGAUAUUGUAGCUGGCAAGCCUUUUCUGCUGCGCCGAAGGUUUACGGAUUCAAAGUAUGCUCAGCUGGGCCAACUGUGGGGUCCAGAGGACCCUUAUAUGGACUUAGCAGCGAGUGCGGCGUAUGCCGUUGUGCAUUUUCAAAGCCAGAAGGAUCACAAGACGGAAGAGCUGUUUUGGUCUCAAUUCCAUAGUCUGGAGCAUUCACUUCCGCUGACCGACCGUUUGGCCGAGCGGGCUGAGCUAAAUAGGUUGUCCGGGCUUGCUAUGACGGAUAUAGUGACCCAUGUCCGGCCGGAUAGGCCCGAGCCGAAGAGUUACUUUGGCUUAUUGCAGCAAUUUCUUGGGGCGGUGCCGCAUAUCAAGGCGAUGAAGCGGUCGGCCUGCAUAGAGGGUGCGCGGAUGGCACUCGCCCGUGUGAAGACACAUUGGACAGAGAUGGAUGCCACCGCUGUUGCGACCCCGGGUUCGAACGAUAACGGGUUACUCGCCGAGUACUAUUUUGGUGAAGUGCUGCGUGGUGCUCGUGUAAUAGAGUCGCAGUGCUCAAAAAAUGUUACGUUCGAAUGA
RNAcentral lists this ribosomal RNA (990 nucleotides) under Triticum aestivum (bread wheat). RNAcentral's name for it is "partial small subunit ribosomal RNA". The record is from RNAcentral. Lineage: Eukaryota; Viridiplantae; Streptophyta; Magnoliopsida; Poales; Poaceae.